Molecule: ribosomal RNA, 460 nt
Filed under: uncultured bacterium
Lineage: Bacteria
Description: partial 16S ribosomal RNA
Rfam family: Bacterial small subunit ribosomal RNA
Source: RNAcentral
CCUACGGGAGGCAGCAGUGAGGAAUAUUGGUCAAUGGGCGAGAGCCUGAACCAGCCAAGUCGCGUGAAGGAUGACGGCCCUACGGGUUGUAAACUUCUUUUGUCAGGGAGCAAUUGGGUCCACGCGUGGGCUUUGCGAGAGUACCUGAAGAAAAAGCAUCGGCAAACUCCGUGCCAGCAGCCGCGGUAAUACGGAGGAUGCGAGCGUUAUCCGGAUUUUUUGGGUUUAAAGGGUGCGUAGGCGGAAUAUCAAGUCAGCGGUAAAAAUUCGGGGCGAAACCCCGUCGUGCCGUUGAAACUGAUGUUCUUGAGUGGGCGAGAGGUAUGCGGAAUGCGUGGUGUAGCGGUGAAAUGCAUAGAUAUCACGAAGAACUCCGAUUGCGAAGGCAGCAUACCGGCGCCCAACUGACGCUGAGGCACGAAAGCGUGGGUAUCGAACAGGAUUAGAUACCCCAGUAGUC